RNAcentral lists this ribosomal RNA (253 nucleotides) under uncultured bacterium. RNAcentral's name for it is "partial 16S ribosomal RNA". It matches the Rfam family "Bacterial small subunit ribosomal RNA", at positions 524 to 776 of the family's 1533-position model. The record is from RNAcentral.
GACAGAGGUCCCGAGCGUUAGACGGAAUCACUGGGCUUAAAGCGUGUGUAGGCGGAAGGGUAAGUACCUUGUGAAAUCCCACGGCUCAACCGUGGAACUGCUUGGUAUACUGCUUUUCUUGAGCCACUUAGGGGCAACCGGAACAAAUGGUGGAGCGGUGAAAUGCGUAGAUAUCAUUUGGAACGCCAAUGGUGAAAACAGCUCGCUGGGGGUGUACUGACACUGAGACACGAAAGCCAGGGGAGCAAACGGG